ACUAUGCCGUAGAGCAGUGAACAAUGGCCCACACCUCAUGGGGCUCACAUUCCAAUGGGGGAGACAAUAAAGUCAACACAUAGCAAGGCAGCCAGUGAGGCAACAAAGCACGGAGGGUGGGCUGGAAGGGGCUGUGGUUUUAUUUAGGACGGUCGGUGAAGACCCCCCUCCCCUGGGGAGAAGUUGACCUUUGAGAAUAGACUGUAAGGAGGGAGCAAGACAUUUAGGUAUUUGGAGGAGAGUCUUUCAGACUGAAGGGGUAGCUAGUGCAAAUGUCCUGGGGCAGGAGUGGCCCAUUUGCUUGAGGAAGAAGAGGAAGGUUCAUGAAGCUGAAGCCAAGAGUGUGUAAGGGGCCGAGAAAUCUAUGAGAGAGAAGGUCUGGGGCCAGAUCCUGAGAUUAUGAGGCCAUUAGAAAGAUGGGAAAUCACUGGAGGAUUAUGAGCAAGAAAUAGGUUGAUGUGACUUUUGUUAAAACACUGUUCUCCCAUCUGCUGGUUAAGGAACAGGUCAGGGUGUGCAGGUGGCAGCAGGCGGAGGAGUUGGCACAUCUCAGCUGUAAACCAAGGGGAGGUGACGAGACCGUGGACAGGGCGGACCACUGAGGGGUGAGAAGUGGUGAAUGUGUUUAAAAUAUAUUUUAAAAAUGGAACCAACACCCUUGCUGCUGGACUGGAUGUGGGCCGUGAGCCAAGGAAAGGAGAGAGGACCAUUGCAGAUAUUUGGAGUCUCUUUUUGGCUGAGUAGCUUGGAAGAUGAUGUGCCCUGGACUGGGAUAGGGAAGAUGUGGGAAGGGCAGAGGGAACGUGAGGGCACUUGUAUCGGGCAUAUUAACCUUGAGUUAAUGUGUGUACUGAGCUCUUCCUCUGCAUCAGGCACUGGGCAAAGCAUCUUACAGAUAGCGUCCCGUUUAAUCCUACAACAGUGCUAUUGUCAUCUCAUUUUAGAUCUAAGAAAAUGGGCAGCUGUGGCCAUUCACAGCCUGACAAGACCUCCUGCAACAGCAGCAAAAAUAGAUCUUUCCCGUCUAAUUGUUCUGCCCUAACUGCACGGUCAUGGUUGGUACUGGCUCGUCACACUGUUAAUGAAGAGAUGAGUUUUAUCCUUGCUGUCACUGAACAGGGAGAGAUUAUCAGCUUUGUUCUGCUCCUGGAGCCCCGUCGAUGCUCCAUAGACACUCGAAUGACUGAGUGAGUGAGCUUGCGGAACGUGUGGACACCGACCACAGGCUGGGCUGAGUACAUUUCCUGCCUGCGAGUGGGGAGGCCCGGGAGCAGGGCGGAGGGUGGCGUCCGUCCAUCUAUUGGGCACAUGACAGGUUCGGGGGCGAGUGAGCUUGAAAACCAAGGGCAUGGAUGGUUCACGGUGAGCAACUGGGCUUCAUAACUAGAAGCAUCAGAAAUAGAAAAUCUGAGUCAGCACCUGAAUCAGGUGAGCAGCGUCAGGCAAAGUAUGAGUCGUGGGGUGGGGGAGGAGGGGGCAGUUCAUGGCUAAUCUGUGGGACUGGGUGUGCUUUGCUGUUAGCAGUGGGGAGAGCCUUGCUAGCUGGGGGAGUCCUAAAGAGGUCAGCGGUGCGCGCUGAAAAACAGAGAGGUGGGAAGAGCCCCAGGUGUUCCGUUCAAGAAGUGUGUUCGUUACCUGUUGGCUGAGUAACGAAUCACCCCAACCGGAGUGGCCCACGACCACCAUGUUGAUGUACGACGUCUCACAGUCCAGGAGCAGCCGGUGACAUCUUGGAGGCUCGUCGCUGCAGUCCGACUGUCAGAAGCCUGUGCCCACGGCUGGCCCUGAUUCAGGGGCAGAGAAGCAGGCUCACCUUUCUCUGGGAGGUGAAUCCAAGAAUGUGCUGGCAUGUUUUACAACCGCACAGAGGCAUGUGACGUGGUCUGGGGAUCUCAUAAUUAUCCCCUCCUGAUUAUCCAGGAGACUUGUCAUCUAUCCAGUGGAAAGUUUCUUGGUCCCUGUGAUGGUUGGCGAUUCGUGUUGGUUGGGCAGGGGGGAUAAUGUGACGUGCAGACAAGUUGGCUACGUAAUUUCUGAGUCUAAAUGCCGUGUCAGUGUUAUUACCAGGAAACCCCAGGCCUGGAAACACUUUUUUUCUGGACUCAGGAGGAUAUAUAUGAGAGCAGAAUGUAAAGUAGUCUGUAUCCACAGGGAUACAAAAUGAGCUAGGAAGUCAGAAAAAGUAAGGAGAUGGAGCUGGAGAGGAGAAAGUGGCCUUGACACUGUUGUGUUUUUGACUUGAUACAGUAGCAGAAAAUUCCGAGUCUUUGAGAGACAGCAAUAUUCUGGACCACUUACACUAAUCAGCUGCCUCCGUGACUGUUAAAACCAAGAGUGACACCAGUCCUUGCAAAGUCAGACCACUCAUGCUAUUGACCCCGGUGUGAAGGCUCUUGGGGUUCUGUGUGUGGAAACUGGACUGUAGAUAAUUGUUUUGUUAGAGGGGAAUUGGGAGUUUAGUGAAUAUGGUCACUAAAUAUAAGUGAAUUAGUGAAUUCAAGUGUAUUUCCAAGUGGAGUUUGAAAGCCUCCUGUACGGACAUUGAUUGCACCAUGGGAUGUUUGCCUGAUGCCAACUAAUUAGAAAAGUCCAUUCUGGGCUUGGCUUGAGUGAGCCCAGGGAAGCAUAAAAUGUGUCACUGUAGCUGGUACCCUGGAUUCCCAGGAUAACUCGUCAUCUCCUUACACUUGGUUGAGUUUAUUCCACACACAGACCUUCACUAAAGGCCACCAUGUUCCACCAUGUGAAGCAAUUGCCAACAUGUUGUGGCGCCAGCAACUGGAGUUCUUAUCUGUGGAGGUUAAACAAUUAAAGAGGAGCCUCAGUGUCACUGGAAGCAAUUCCUUGGACCAUUUGCCACUGUCUGCAAAGAAGUCCAGACACCACUGCUGCAGCGUCGACUGGCUAGCAAAGAUUCGUUUAGGCUGGGGGACUUGCCAUUUUGGGGUCCAGCAUUAUGACCGACUCCUCAGUGUCUCGGGCUGGGCAGAUUCCCAUGAGGGCAGACCCCAGACCCACAUCUCUUAGUGUGUGAUGGUGUUCAGUUGAAAAACUGGGCUCAAUAAAAAAGUUUAUUUUUUGAAACAAGAUUUCUCAAAGCCUUUAAUAUGCCAGCAUGCCUCGUGAAGGACAGGAAGCAUUUUCACAUCCUUUGUGACCAUCGGAACCAUUUUCCCUGAGAUCACUUUGGAUGACUGUUUUCCAGCAGCAACUUUGGAAUACACAAGCCUAGACUAGAACUGCUUAGAGUGUGGCCCUUCACCUGGUGGUCUCCAAUGGGGUUGGGGUGCCACCUCUGCGGAGUGUUGUGAGAAUUCAGUAUAAAGCACGUGGUACAGUGUUGGACAAGCGGGGACGUUCAAAGAGAAUCGUCCCAAAGUGACGGGAAGCAGUCCCUGGAGCUCACUGCAGCUCAGUCGGGCCCCUCAUCUGCUGGGAGGAGGCUGGUUUUCCUCCUGUCUUCUCCCCAGUAUCCCUGGCCGCAGGGUGGGUUCUUUGCCAGGGGAGUCGUGGAGCUCCAAGGAACCUGAGCUCUACCUUGGAAAUUGGCCUCUGUGUCCACGUGAGGAAGUGCUUCUUCAAGAAACGGAUGGCACAUAUUCUAUUUAAGAAUUUGUUGGCUCAAUUUAUUAUUUUAAAAUACAUGUCCACAUAGAAUGUAGUCCUCUGUCUGUGACCUUGUGCCAGAGCCCACACAUGUUCAGGGCGGUCUAUUAAAUUCCCCUUGUGUAUUUACCUUUGAAAUCAUGAAAAUGUUUUACAUAAUGAUGACAUGAAAUUGUAUUUUAAUGUGUGCUUCCUAAACGUUGAAAGCAAAGAGAAACAGCUGAGCAGAACUGGGUCUUGGACCAGUGGCGUAACUAUCCCAAAAGAGACUGUUUUAGGUGACUAUAAAAUGCAAUUGUUUGACACUACGUCCCUGCUUGGGCUGUAUUCUGAGGAUAAAAAGAACUGCGAAACAUUUUAAGAACUGUAUCCAGUGACUCUGUGGUUUGCGGUGGCAUUAGGCAUUUUCAUUCUGAAAUGAUCGUGUGUACGUUGUGUAAUAAAGCGCAGGAGUGCUUCCAUUUGCCUCCCGGAAGCUCCAACCCCAGCCUCGCGCUGCCUUUGUAGACAAGCCCCUGAGUCUCGUGUGCCGGGACCCAGAUUCUCCCGAUGAGAGCAGGGCCGGCAGACCCCAUUGCGGAGGUUGUCCCAGUGCCGACCCCGGCGCUGUUGUGAAGGUGAAUGACUUAGUUCUCGUGACAGGUGUUUAGUCAUGUUAGCAUCCCUGUUCCCUGCCUGUCUGUAUCAGGACUGGUAGCCACAUUAGGGCUCCGGGGUAAAUGUUUGCUGUUUGAUUAAAUGUAUCCUUUCCUGCUGCCCAACUUCAAAUGAAAACACUUCAAAAAUAAUGUCUGAAAAGCACCAUCCUUGCUGGGUGUUUACAUCUGGGUCCAAUCAGGAGGCAGAAACCGUACAAUAAUUUGAACAAGGGUCAUUCACUAUAAGAAAUUAUG
Long non-coding RNA from Cervus elaphus (red deer), 4499 nucleotides. RefSeq lists it as uncharacterized. The transcript is spliced from 4 exons. NCBI's taxonomy places the organism in Eukaryota, Metazoa, Chordata, Mammalia, Artiodactyla, Cervidae. The record is from RefSeq and is a predicted model, not a curated record.